ACGGAAGGCAGCAGUGGGGAAUAUUGCACAAUGGGGGAAACCCUGAUGCAGCGACGCCGCGUGAAGGAAGAAGUAUCUCGGUAUGUAAACUUCUAUCAGCAGGGAAGAAAAUGACGGUACCUGACUAAGAAGCCCCGGCUAACUACGUGCCAGCAGCCGCGGUAGUACGUAGGGGGCAAGCGUUAUCCGGAUUUACUGGGUGUAAAGGGAGCGUAGACGGCAUCGUAAGUCUGAUGUGAAAGGCAGGGGCUCAACUCCUGGACUGCAUUGGAAACUACGAAGCUUGAGUGCCGGAGGGGUAAGCGGAAUUCCUAGUGUAGCGGUGAAAUGCGUAGAUAUUAGGAGGAACACCAGUGGCGAAGGCGGCUUACUGGACGGUAACUGACGUUGAGGCUCGAAAGCGUGGGGAGCAAACAGGAUUAGAUACCCUGGUA
RNAcentral lists this ribosomal RNA (434 nucleotides) under uncultured Blautia sp. RNAcentral's name for it is "partial 16S ribosomal RNA". It matches the Rfam family "Bacterial small subunit ribosomal RNA", at positions 341 to 792 of the family's 1533-position model. Lineage: Bacteria; Bacillati; Bacillota; Clostridia; Lachnospirales; Lachnospiraceae. The record is from RNAcentral.